This 69-nucleotide transfer RNA is filed under the name Rana temporaria (common frog). Its description in RNAcentral is "tRNA-Asp". It matches the Rfam family "tRNA". Rfam says of the family: Transfer RNA (tRNA) molecules are approximately 80 nucleotides in length. Their secondary structure includes four short double-helical elements and three loops (D, anti-codon, and T loops). The record is from RNAcentral. Lineage: Eukaryota; Metazoa; Chordata; Amphibia; Anura; Ranidae.
GAGGGAUUAGUUAAAUGAUAACACCGCCUUGUCAAGGCCGAAUUGCUAGUUGAACUCUUGCACCCCUCC